GGUUGCUGUGACAUCAUGACAGGUGCACCUGCUUCUUGGUGGCUGGAUUACGCGAUCUCAGACUAUGUGAGGACAUACCGAGACUGGAAAUGACAGCACUGCCCCCUGCCCAGCCAGCAGGAGUGAUCCAAAGGCAUCAGAUCAGCCUGACCCUCACUCUCUACCCAGUCAUCUACAUCCUGAAUAUUCUCAUCUUUGUGAAGACUUAUACUAGACCUGGCAAGCUUACGUGAGGUUUGACAUGCCUCCCCAAACCCCUGUACAAAAUAUUAAAACCAUGUGGACAGAAACACGUAAAUAGAAAGCUAAUUCUUCCAUGUAUUUGGCAGACUAAGUAAAGGCUAUGCAAAUGCUCUCUGACCUCCCAGCUGAGAGCAAGCAUGAAGAAGAUGGUGCAGACUGAGCCCGAGGCCUGGGUCCUGCCAUUUUCCCUUCAGCUUACACGGGACACUGUGAGCACAAAAGACUUUUCGGCUCAGCUGAUACCGGCACGUGCAGAAAUGUGUUUCCCCUUCCUCUCUCUGCCUCCCCUCCCAGCCCUGGACUCCUGCUCUCCUGCCUGGUGCUUAUCGGAGCUUCAUGUGGUGACAUCACAGGGUGCUGAGUGCGGUCAAGGGCUGAGCACGGAUGUAGGACAUACUGCCCUGUCCUUUCUGCCCGCUUUCCAGUGACCAGAGCGAGUGCAUGUGAAGGCUACUGCUGCUUGUAGCUGGACUGGAAGCUGUGGGCCUGUAUACACACCUCAGAUGUGACCUAUGCAGUAUGGGGCUGACGCGUGAGGACAGCGAUGUGAUGGUGGCAUGGACCAGGCAUGUGUCAACAGCUCAGGUUGGAGGGUUUUUUAAUCCAGUGUCUUCAAUUUUCAUGCGACUGACCGGAAUGGGCAGGAACCUGCCUGCUGUAACCUCUUGAACUGAUAGAGUUUGUAUGUCGAGACUGAAUGAAACGACUGUGGACCGAGCAGGCACGUGCACCAUGGACAGUCACAGUUUAACAUCUCAUGUUUCACUGUCACAAGCUAGACCUGAAAAUGUUCGAAUAAAUCCUUUUAUGAUUACGUUUA
Molecule: long non-coding RNA, 1063 nt
Organism: Suricata suricatta (meerkat)
Lineage: Eukaryota; Metazoa; Chordata; Mammalia; Carnivora; Herpestidae
Exons: 2
Source: RefSeq, a predicted model, not a curated record